Molecule: long non-coding RNA, 973 nt
Organism: Macrobrachium nipponense
Lineage: Eukaryota; Metazoa; Arthropoda; Malacostraca; Decapoda; Palaemonidae
Exons: 3
Source: RefSeq, a predicted model, not a curated record
CAGGAAAGCAAAUGCUCACCAGUCUUGCGACGCAGAAAGAGGGAGACGCUAGUACCAUCUACACUAUUACUUCUGCACCACCUGCCUGCUUAGAUGGAGGGAUCAGCGCAGCCAACAAGACCAGGGCCUUUCUUGGUGUCAUCACACGGCGCCCCUGGCGGAAGGGCACAAAUAAGGCCUUAUGAUGGAUACACAGAAUUCAGGGGACAAGGAGUGUAUGCAAAUAGAUGUCCUUUAUGCAAGGUAGGUACGAUGCAGCCAGAGUGCACCGUCAUUACUUGGCUUGUCUGCUGCCUCUUGGGACCGUGUUGGGUGCCCUGUUUCUUCCAACCAAGAUGCUCUAGCUGCGGUUAUGUCGACCAGGGCUGCAGCUGUUGCUGUUGAACGUCUUGACUCCGGAGACUGCCUGAAGGAGAAAUGACAACGUUGGACUUUAGCGUUAUUCGAGUACCUUAUGGCCGUUGGGAUGCUACCCAUUGUGCCUCUAAAACCUAGAGUCUGAAUCGUUUUCUGUUCUUUCAAUUAAUUUUAUGUUAAUUUUGGCGUUUUCAUUAGAGUCGAGAAGAGAGCCUCCAAUAUCUGGUGGCUUUGUUUGAGAAAACUGUUUUGUAAUCGUAUCACAGGCGAAGAUUUGACCGUGCGAAAGUUUCUGCAUAGAAUCAAAAGUGAAAUCAAUAAGACACCUGAAGAGUUAUUGGACUUUCUUUUGUUAAACUGUUUACACCUGAAAAUUUUGAAUAGAGUAAUAAGAAAUAUUGUGAUAGAUUUUAUGCAAAUUUACCUGUGUUUUUGUGUAUGUGUAUGAGUUUCUCAAACCUGAAAAUACAGCGUUGUAAUUCCAGUUUCUUCUCUCCUGAGUUACGCUAAUUCUGAAAAGACGAUCAGACAACACGUAUUGGUAUCGGUUAGUCAGUUCGAGACAAGAGGACAAUUGAAUAAAUUUGACACCUUCCUUUGCUUACGAUUCGAUAUU